CUUUCUCUCUGGGGCAUAGCUGUGGUUAUCAGAAGAGUCUGGAUAGCAGAGAAUGUUCCUCCAGUAUGUAACUCUUCAGAGGGGGAGUCACUGACAGUGUACAUCACAGCCCCAUGGAAGCAGGGUAGGACAGAGAAUCAUGCCUCUGUAGGGAACAAUGACGGAUUUUCCCAUUAGUGAAGCUGUUUGGUCACAACUCAAAAAACAACAAUAUACAGCAAAGUAUAUUUGUAGAACUCUGAAGAUCUACCAAACACUGUUGGGGACUUUGCAUCAUUGUCACAUUUGAUCCUCACAACCGUAUAAGGUAGGCACUGUUAGCUUUGGAGGUAAGCGAUCUCUCUAAAAUUUGAGUAAUUUUGCCUGACUCGAUUUAGCUAUGAAGCAGUGGAACUGGAAUUUGAAUUCCAGAACUCAUCCUUUGACUACUAUAGAGCAGUUCUCACUUGGGUGAGCAAGUGGGUCAGUGGAGAAUACAGACUCGGAUUCUCAAGCCCCUCCAACCAAGUUGAAGUAGGUCUGAAGGGAGGGGGGCGGUGGGCAGGAUUCAGUGUUGGUAACAGAUGCCCUAUCAUCACAAUCCAGUGACCUCCGGACCUGAAAAGUGUUGCACCAUAUUACAUUUGCUGGUCAUCUGACAUCUGUGGGCCCAGGAUGGAAAAGGAAAUGGGAUGGAGAUGUGUGCCACCAGAGAGAAGGACCUUCACCCUUUGGCUUCAUGUCCAAUGUUGGAAGACUGCGUCCUAUACAGGACAGAAGACUGACUCCAGAAGAACAGUUUGCUGAUUUGUCCCCCGUACUCCAUAUGUCACCAGCGAAACAGCCUUGGCCUUCGGAAUGCAUUAGUGUUUGGGCAGUGGGAAAGAAACAAGACCAGAGGAGCCUUCUGGGACAAGUAGACAGGAAAUCAGGAAUUUUAACUCCGUGUCCCUUAAUUUUGUAUGACUUUGGGAAAGUCAUUUUUCCUCCCUAAGUGGCUAUGCCAUCUUUUGGAUAAGAGUAGGACCCCUGGAGUCGGAUGAUCCAUGUCUGCUUUCACAUGGGCAUAAUAAUAGCACCUAUCAUAGAAUUGGUACAAGGAUAAAAGAAUACAAUCUUCAUAAAGCUCUGAGCACAGUUCUCAGAUAGUAAUUUCAAUAUUUUAAAACUUCAUUUAGGAUCAUCACCUACCCCAGGGCCCCACAGAAGGGAUUAGAAGAAACAUCAAGUUCAUCAAGCUUCUUCACCUUGGGUUUGGGUGAGACAAUUCUGAACCUGGUGUGAUGCCUUUUCUUCCAAUUCCCUGGCUAUUGGUGAGGUCAUGAACAUGUUAGGGACCUGAUUUUACUACAGAUCCUUUUAGAGUUUUGAUGAAUUUUUGAAAAUUAGAAAGAGAAUAAAUUCUUGUUCAAUGACUGUGGUUUGUUUGAUAGAGGGAAUUUUUCAGAUCUAGAGGUCUAGAGGGGAUAAAAAUCGUAAUUAAGAAGAUCGGUGGUAGUAAAAAAGGUUGGCUUUAGGUGGUUUAUUAGUUAUCUAUUGUUGCGCAAUGACAUAAUCACUCCAAAACUUGGUAGCUUAAAACAACACACGUUUAUG
RNAcentral lists this long non-coding RNA (1575 nucleotides) under Canis lupus familiaris (dog). RNAcentral describes it as "lncRNA (ENSCAFG00000054069.1)". The record is from RNAcentral. Lineage: Eukaryota; Metazoa; Chordata; Mammalia; Carnivora; Canidae.